This 433-nucleotide ribosomal RNA is filed under the name uncultured bacterium. Its description in RNAcentral is "partial 16S ribosomal RNA". It matches the Rfam family "Bacterial small subunit ribosomal RNA", at positions 29 to 507 of the family's 1533-position model. The record is from RNAcentral.
AACGAACGCUGGCGGCAUGCCUAAUACAUGCAAGUCGAACGAGACCUUCGGGUCUAGUGGCGCACGGGUGCGUAACGCGUGGGAACCUGCCCUUAGGUUCGGAAUAACUCCCCGAAAGGGGUGCUAAUACCGGAUAAUGUCUUCGGACCAAAGAUUUAUCGCCUUUGGAUGGGCCCGCGUUGGAUUAGCUAGUUGGUAGGGUAAAAGCCUACCAAGGCGACGAUCCAUAGCUGGUCUGAGAGGAUGAUCAGCCACACUGGGACUGAGACACGGCCCAGACUCCUACGGGAGGCAGCAGUGGGGAAUAUUGGACAAUGGGCGAAAGCCUGAUCCGGCAAUGCCGCGUGAGUGAUGAAGGCCUUAGGGUUGUAAAGCUCUUUUACCCGGGAUGAUAAUGACAGUACCGGGAGAAUAAGCUCCGGCUAACUCCGUG